RNAcentral lists this ribosomal RNA (252 nucleotides) under uncultured bacterium. RNAcentral's name for it is "partial 16S ribosomal RNA". It matches the Rfam family "Bacterial small subunit ribosomal RNA", at positions 525 to 776 of the family's 1533-position model. The record is from RNAcentral.
ACGAAGGGGGCUAGCGUUGUUCGGAAUCACUGGGCGUAAAGAGCACGUAGGUGGUUUGUUAAGUCAGGAGUGAAAGCCCAAGGCUCAACCUUGGAAUUGCUCUUGAUACUGGCGAACUAGAGUCUGGGAGAGGAGUGUGGAAUACCGAGUGUAGAGGUGAAAUUCGUAGAUAUUCGGUGGAACACCAGUGGCGAAGGCGACACUCUGGAACAUGACUGACACUGAGGUGCGAAAGCGUGGGGAGCAAACAGG